UCUUAAAAAAUCCAUCUAUUUCUAUUAUUAAAACUAACAUAGCUAACAAAUAAUUAAACAGUGGCACAUGGUGUGCCCGACGUACCUCAUGUUGACAUAUAGAGAUAAGUUUUUAAUAAUAGAAAUUGAUGAAAUUUUAACA
Molecule: non-coding RNA, 142 nt
Organism: Gossypium raimondii (Peruvian cotton)
Lineage: Eukaryota; Viridiplantae; Streptophyta; Magnoliopsida; Malvales; Malvaceae
Source: Rfam